This 3702-nucleotide long non-coding RNA is filed under the name Monodelphis domestica (gray short-tailed opossum). RNAcentral describes it as "lncRNA (ENSMODG00000032795.2)". Lineage: Eukaryota; Metazoa; Chordata; Mammalia; Didelphimorphia; Didelphidae. The record is from RNAcentral.
GUCAAAUCAUAAGUGAUUUAUAAUAUGAUAUUUUUAUGAUUAUGGGUUUGAAAAAGCAAAUAUUUAAGCAUCUAUACAUGCUGCUUUGCAAAAUCUAUUGUACAUCUAUAUCCUGAACAAGCAGGUGAUAUCGCUUAUCAAUGCAAACUGUUGUGGAUUAAUUUCACCUCUGAUAGAUAUCCACUGUAUAUUUUGGAGCAAAGGUACAUUUCAGCAUGCUCCUGGCACAAAGGUUGAACUGUGAAAAAUGAUGGGAGAUACUUACUCUCCUGGUUUAUGGGUUCAAGCUCAAAUGAAGAAGUGAGCAAAGUGAUUGCAGAUUUUAUGAAUAACUGCACACAACUGUCUAUUCCAAACAGCUUGGAAUAGCAGGGCUUUUAACAGCAAUGCAAAGGCUAAAUUACAUAGCUCAUGGCUUACAUGCAAGCUAUGGUAAAAAGAGCUCAAAGGAAUUCAUGAGCCCCAAGGUUCAAAAAACUGAAGGUAUAUAUGUUCUGUCACUUUCUAACUUUCUAAGACCCAAUGAGGCUUUCAUUUGGGGUCGAGGUCUUGUUUAUAUGUUCACAGAUAAUGAAAACAUCUGGUCACCCACGUCAUGCUUCAUGCCAGCUGAUACAGACCAGGAAGAGAAGCAGACGGAAGGUGAUGGCAUCAGCUAUCUACAUGCCAGCCACAAUCCAGGCACGCUGGAGGGACACUUCUUUGGUGACUAAUAUCACUCCAGAACAAUGACAUUACACUAUUAGAGACAUUUGCUAUUAGGCCACUGACAGACACUUGUCAUGCUGACAUCCAUUGAGAUGGGGUACCCAGAGCAACAUCAAGUAUGCUAACUCAGAAGGACUAAAUCACACUUGUGUCUGUACAAGACACCAGAUACAUCCCACAUUCCAAAGACUUUGCUAUGGGAUUGAGAUGAAUUAGCUACAAAUUGUCUAGCUGCUAAUGUAUACCCUGUAUUUUGUAUAUGAUACUGUCAAAAGAAAUGUAUAUUGUAUGCAUUGUAAAUCCACCACUUGUAUUGUAAGAAAUGCUGUUAUCAACAAGGGUAUAGACCUUGGUAUGAUUCUCCAAAGAAGUAGGAGAUAGAAGACUUUCAUUCAUAGCAUAGAUCUGAUACCUCUGACAUCAAAAAUGAGGUGCUAAGCAGAAAAUGAUGCACAGACAGGUUUAAUGGACAGAUGACACUGAUGUUACUCUCAAGAAAGGAUGAGAGAUCAGGGAAAAGACACUAGGAAAUCUUUAAUCAGGAACCUGAGUUAUUGUAAGAGAUCAUUGACAUCCAGGCAAAGAUUAUGUUCCUGACAUUACAUUAAGGGCUGACUACCAUAGCAGUAGUUGAGUGUUAAUACCAUUGUUAACCAUUACUCCUGAUACCCUGUCUUUGUGGGUAAUAUCUUAAUAGGAAAAAUGUCUUGCUCUCCUCCAACAGUCCCAGAAUUCAGACGGCCGCUGGAUUCAGGAUCUAUUGGCUUCCCUUUCAUAUACUGGAAGACGUUCUGGUAUAUGGAAGUAAGACCUCAUGAAAAACUGAGGGCUCUAGGUUUGACAAUUUCUGUGGACGCGCAGUCAUUGUCUCUCCUAGGUGGAAAAAAUUAUUAUUGCACAAAAACAUGGAGCAAGGGCAAAGUAUAAUCUAAGUUUUACUGUUUUGGAGUAUGGAUUAAAAACAUGACACAAUAGGCACAGAUAAGCUUGCAGAAAAAGCACAUUGAAUAUUAUUCACUGACAAUUAGGAAUGAAAAAGCUAUGUCAAAUGCUGUAGGUACAAGAAACUGUAGAAAUUGUUUCUACAGGGGAAACAACUUAAGCUUCUAUUUACCCAAACAUUGGUUUGGUGGAAUGAAUUUUGCAAAUAUUGGUAAUGGUAUAGGCUUGGUUACCAUAUUGAUGGGUUUAUUUAUAUAAGCAGAGAUUUAAAAUAAGGAAGACAUUAGGAAUAUGCAGUCAGAACUUGAAAUAUUACUUCAUUAUCACCAUCAUGGUUAUUUAAGCUACAAUUGAGAAUGUAAAAUAGAUGGGAAUAUUGGUAUUUGUUAAAAAAUUGCACUGUGAUUGAUGUAUUGAUGUUUUUGCACAGCCUGUAAUGGUGCAAAAUUAUGUUCAUAUACAAGGCGAAUUUUGAUCUAUUUAGAUCAGGAAUUAGAAAUCAUUGGGAAAAUAAGUUCUGAUAUUUUACAUUGGCUCAGUUUCAAAGAUACCACAUAGACAGUGAGCCAAGAGAAUCUUGUAUUAAUUUUGGGAUCAGGUUCCCAGGAUCAAUUUUCUGAGAUCAUUUGACAUGUGAUAACAUGAUCCUCCAGAAUUGUUAAGAGAGGAUGUUUUUCUUUGAAGGGAUCUCUCCCAACACACAAACAAAAAGAAAAGGGAGAGGAAUCUUAUAGAGAUCAAUAUUUAUAUUUUUAGAGGAAACUUUUAAAGUCACUCUUGAUUGAUCAACCUUGAUUUUUUUCUUUUACACUAUUAAGGCCAGAAUUUUUGAGUAUAAAGAAAGUACUGUUAAUGCUCUGAUCCAGAAUUAUGAAGGUGCAAAGAUUUCUAGAAUUACAGUCACCUAACAGUCGGUGAACAUGAGAACAUGACAGCAAUUGUUAAUUUUCAGAUGACCAUACUGGAGAGUGAUGUCUGAUUGCAUGUAAGGGGAAUCAUAAUGAAUCUUUCAUUAUGGACCAGACAGCCUCAGCCACGGUUACAUUUUCCAUGUGAAAUGGAUGUUUGAGGUUGGGAAAUGCAGAGACAUGGCAUACUGACACCCUUAGUCGCUGGAUGUCCUGGCAUCGAGCUACCAACCAGUUUCCUAUGUGGCAGGCAUCUGGCAGUGAGCACGGAAAGAUCCCCAAGAUGCAGUAUCAGGACGAGAGAAAGGAAGGACUUAUCCUUCUUCUCCAGGGAUAGUAUUUUGCUAACUGUUGAAAAGGCUGACAACUUCUGAUAGUCCAGACUGUGAAUGGUGGCAUGUUUGGUUAUUGCACCUGUCAUGUGAAUCAUAGAGUUCUACCUCAUUAGACCAGGAUCAGUAGCGUGGAAAUUAUUUUCUUAACAUUUUUAUAUCUACUAAGACUGUUGCAUUGAUCUUGAAAUGCAGACAGACAGAUAGAAAGAUCAGUUUGGGAAUUUUUAAGAUUGAUCACUGAAUCAGUUUAUGCUGAUGUUCAUUCUUGAUUGGGAUAUCUAAGUUAUACAAUCAGGAUAGGUUUUUCAUCUCUGUAUCAGAAUAUGAUUAUGCACCAGAGUGUUUGUAUUUGUUAAUGCUGUAAUGUUGCUACAUUUUGAUAUUACACUAUUCAUUUGUGUGUAAAACAAAAAGGGGGAGAUGUAGCAGCCCAGGGGCAAGGGGAACAGUCAGUCUUGGGCAUGCUCAGUAGUGCUCAUGGCUGGGAAGGCCCCUGACCCUUGACCCCAGCUUCUCCCAGGUUAGGCGGGAAAACAGGUUUCUUUGUUCUCCCCUGGUCAAGAGAAACCACACCUAUGCCUUGUCAUUGACCAAUGAGGGUCAUCCCUAUGUACUACGUAGCAAAUGGUAUUUAUGGCCCAGCAAGCUCCGCCUCGCUCUCUCUCCCCCUCUCUCCUCUUUCAGGCUAGGCGAUGGCUGUCCUUGCAGGAGCUUGGCCUCUGGCCAAGCUCCAUCUUUAAUCUCUCUCUCUCCCCCUUUCCUUUAUAUAUACCAUGCUUUUGCCUCAAUAAACGACUCCUCUUUGCACA